RNAcentral lists this unclassified non-coding RNA (334 nucleotides) under soil metagenome. Its description in RNAcentral is "partial contains 5.8S ribosomal RNA, internal transcribed spacer 2, and large subunit ribosomal RNA". The stretch from base 1 to 120 matches the Rfam family "5.8S ribosomal RNA", at positions 35 to 154 of the family's 154-position model. The record is from RNAcentral.
GAUGAAGAACGCAGCGAAAUGCGAUAAGUAAUGUGAAUUGCAGAAUUCAGUGAAUCAUCGAAUCUUUGGACGCACAUUGCGCCCGCCAGUAUUCUGGCGGGCAUGCCUGUUCGAGCGUCAUUUCAACCAUCAAGCCCUGCUUGCGUUGGGGUCCUGCGGCUGCCCGCAGGCCCUGAAAACCAGUGGCGGGCUCGCUAGUCACACCGAGCGCAGUAAUACAUCUCGCUUUGGGCGUGCGGCGGGUUCUUGCCGUUAAACACCCCCUUUUUACCAAGGUUGACCUCGGAUCAGGUAGGAAUACCCGCUGAACUUAAGCAUAUCAAUAAGCGGAGGA